This 211-nucleotide ribosomal RNA is filed under the name Pseudomonas nunensis. Its description in RNAcentral is "partial 16S ribosomal RNA". It matches the Rfam family "Bacterial small subunit ribosomal RNA", at positions 1182 to 1392 of the family's 1533-position model. The record is from RNAcentral. Lineage: Bacteria; Pseudomonadati; Pseudomonadota; Gammaproteobacteria; Pseudomonadales; Pseudomonadaceae.
ACGUCAAAUCAUCAUGCCCCUUAUGAUUUGGGCUACACACGUGCUACAAUGGACAAUACAAAGGGCAGCUAAACCGCGAGGUCAUGCAAAUCCCAUAAAGUUGUUCUCAGUUCGGAUUGUAGUCUGCAACUCGACUACAUGAAGCUGGAAUCGCUAGUAAUCGUAGAUCAGCAUGCUACGGUGAAUACGUUCCCGGGUCUUGUACACACCG